RNAcentral lists this small RNA (326 nucleotides) under Papio anubis (olive baboon). Its description in RNAcentral is "Metazoan signal recognition particle RNA (ENSPANG00000050952.1)". Lineage: Eukaryota; Metazoa; Chordata; Mammalia; Primates; Cercopithecidae. The record is from RNAcentral.
GCUGGGCGUGGUGGCGUGUGCCUGUAGUCCCAGCUACUUGGGAGGCUGAGGCAGGAGAAUCGCUUGAACCCAGGAGACGGAGCUUGCAGUGAGCUGAGAUAACGCCACUGUACUCCAGCCUGGCAACAGAGUGAGACUCUGUCUCAAAAAAAAAAAGCAAGGACUCAGGCUCUCUCUUUUUUUUUUUCUUUUUGAGAUGGAGUUUCUUUUUUAUUUUUUAUUUUUGAGAUGGAGUCUCACUCUGUCGCCCAGGCUGGAGUGCGAUGGCGCAAUCUCAGCUCACCAAAAGCUCUGCCUCCCGGGUUCACCCCAUUCUCCUGCCUCCG